CCCUUAGACGUUCUGGGCUGCACGCGCGCUACACUGAUGCGCUCAACGAGUUUUAACCUUGCCUGGAAAGGUUGGGUAAUCUUUUUAAAACGCAUCGUGAUGGGGAUAGAUUAUUGCAAUUAUUAAUCUUCAACGAGGAAUUCCUAGUAAGCGCGAGUCAUCAGCUCGUGCUGAUUACGUCCCUGCCCUUUGUACACACCGCCCGUCGCUCCUACCGAUUGAGCGAUCCGGUGAAUAAUUCGGACUGCGGCAUUGACCGGUUCCCGAUCGUUGCUGCGGAAAGUUUAGUGAACCUUAUCACUUAGAGGAAGGAGAAGUCGUAACA
Molecule: ribosomal RNA, 325 nt
Filed under: uncultured eukaryote
Lineage: Eukaryota
Description: partial 18S ribosomal RNA
Rfam family: Eukaryotic small subunit ribosomal RNA
Source: RNAcentral